AACAACCCAAUUACUUCAACAAGCCAUGCAAGUGAUCAUCAUUUAUUCUCCUACACAUAUAAAGGUCCAAAAGCCUUACAAUAACAACAUGGGCUAGCCACGCCCAACCCAAACCAAACUUCUAGCUGCUAUCGGAGAGAGAAAAUCUGAGAGGAUUGGCGAACAAACGGCUAGAAAAUCCACCACCGAAGAGGAGCCAAAGUCUAAGACAGAGUCAUCUGUCGUCGCCUCCGUCGAGCACGUCAAGGACACUGAUGGUUGUAGAUUCAAUGCCUUCAAGAGGGCAUCAACAACCGACUAGCGAAGGUUCGGUGCAACUUUAUUGGAAUCUCCACGUGCAAGCCUUUGAGGCCAAACGGCGACGGCGCGCCACCUUGAGUAAUGACCUUGUCGGGGCAUUCAAAACAAAAACCGAAAUAACUGGAAUCGGCCCAGCGGCAAGAGAAAAGAAAAAAAACCACUAGGGAAGCAAGUUGUCACCUUACGCCGGCAAAGGAAAACCGACACAAAAGAAAGGACAACUUCUUAGUUAUUUUGUUGAGAAGAAAAGCAAAGGAAAAAUGAUCGAUUACAACGGUCGAAAAUGUGAGUGGUACCGACCCUAAGGUCGGCCGGCCGCUCUUGGAAAGGCCAAGGCAACAAAGGUAGGAGAAGGAAGGAUUUGAGAGGGAGGAGAGAAAAGUCUUCUCGGUUAAAAAAUUAUCAACUUUUAAUCUUACUAAGACUGGAACUAUUGUAACAAAAUAAAUGCUUUUAAUAAAUUUUAAACUUAAUACUUUUUAUAUAUUAAUUUAUUCUUUAAUAAUCAAUACUUAUUUACACAG
RNAcentral lists this long non-coding RNA (824 nucleotides) under Gossypium raimondii (Peruvian cotton). Its description in RNAcentral is "long non-coding RNA (GRAI_LNC000709)". The record is from RNAcentral. Lineage: Eukaryota; Viridiplantae; Streptophyta; Magnoliopsida; Malvales; Malvaceae.